AGGUCAAGUGAAGAAGGGCGCACGGUGAAUGCCUUGGCACUGGAAGCCGAUGAAGGACGCGACUAACCGCGAAAGUCUUCGGGGAGCCGUAAGUAGGCUUUGAUCCGGAGGUCUCCGAAUGGGGGAACCCAGCAUGUGCAGACAUGCUAUCCUUAAGUGAAUACAUAGCUUAAGGAGGGAACACGCAGUGAACUGAAACAUCUAAGUAGCUGCAGGAAGAGAAAGAAAUAUCGAUUUCCCAAGUAGCGGCGAGCGAACAGGAAAGAGCCCAAACCGGCAGAUUUAUCUGCCGGGGUUGUAGGACUGAGACAUGGCACUUCAGAGGAUAGCAGAAGCGUUUGGGAAAGCGCGCCAGAGAGGGUGAGAGCCCCGUAAGCGAAAUCCAAAGAAGGCCUAUCAGUAUCCUGAGUAGGGCGGGACACGUGAAAUCCCGUUUGAAUCCGCGAGGACCAUCUCGCAAGGCUAAAUACUAACCAGUGACCGAUAGUGAACCAGUACCGUGAGGGAAAGGUGAAAAGAACCCCGGGAGGGGAGUGAAAGAGAACCUGAAACCGUGUGCCUACAAGUAGUCAGAGCCCGUUAACGGGUAAUGGCGUGCCUUUUGUAGAAUGAACCGGCGAGUUGCGUUAGUCAGCAAGGUUAAGUCAGAAAAGACGGAGCCGUAGCGAAAGCGAGUCUGAAGAGGGCGAGCAGUUGGCUGACGCAGACCCGAAACCAAGUGACCUACCCAUGACCAGGUUGAAGGCGCGGUAAAACGCGCUGGAGGACCGAACCCACGUAAGUUGAAAAUUGCGGGGAUGAGUUGUGGGUAGCGGUGAAAUUCCAAACGAACUUGGAGAUAGCUGGUUCUCUCCGAAAUAGCUUUAGGGCUAGCCUCGCAAAGAGGAUGCUGGAGGUAGAGCUCUGUUUGGACUAGGGGCCCGUCAAGGGUUACUGAAUUCAGAUAAACUGCGAAUUCCAGACAUUUAUGUGCGGGAGUCAGACUGCGAGUGAUAAGAUCCGUAGUCGAAAGGGAAACAGCCCAGAUCACCAGUUAAGGUCCCAAAAUUCAUGCUAAGUGGAAAAGGAUGUGGAGUUGCGCAGACAACUAGGACGUUGGCUCAGAAGCAGCCAUCAUUCAAAGAGUGCGUAAUAGCUCACUAGUCGAGUGACGCCGCGCCGAAAAUUUACCGGGGCUAAGCAUGAUACCGAAACUGUGGAUGUGCGUUUAUGCACGUGGUAGGAGAGCGUUCUAGCGGCGGUGAAGCAUGACCGAGAA
Molecule: ribosomal RNA, 1258 nt
Filed under: Lactobacillus delbrueckii subsp. bulgaricus
Lineage: Bacteria; Bacillati; Bacillota; Bacilli; Lactobacillales; Lactobacillaceae
Description: partial 23S ribosomal RNA
Rfam family: Bacterial large subunit ribosomal RNA
Source: RNAcentral